AACGUAGGGGGCGAGCGUUGUCCGGAAUUACUGGGCGUAAAGGGCGUGUAGGCGGCCAAUUAAGUCAUUCGUGAAACCUGCCGGCUUAACCGGUAGCUUGCGAAAGAAACUGUUUGGCUUGAGUGCAGUAGAGGGGAGUGGAAUUCCCAGUGUAGCGGUGAAAUGCGUAGAUAUUGGGAGGAACACCAGUGGCGAAAGCGGCUCCCUGGCCUGUAACUGACGCUGAGGCGCGAAAGCGUGGGUAGCAAAC
Molecule: ribosomal RNA, 250 nt
Filed under: uncultured bacterium
Lineage: Bacteria
Also listed under: 1 other name
Description: partial 16S ribosomal RNA
Rfam family: Bacterial small subunit ribosomal RNA
Source: RNAcentral